Molecule: long non-coding RNA, 344 nt
Organism: Chiroxiphia lanceolata (lance-tailed manakin)
Lineage: Eukaryota; Metazoa; Chordata; Aves; Passeriformes; Pipridae
Exons: 3
Source: RefSeq, a predicted model, not a curated record
UAUUCUGGUUUAUUUGUUAGUUUUGUAUGCCUGUCCUAGUUAGGACAGCUGAGACCAGUUCAUCACUGGAUGGGUGUAACCCAAAACUGUGUAUUCUAUAGCCUUCCAUGCCAUUUCCCAGAAACUGUUAUCAGUAGACUAUUUACACCCUCUGCUCAGAGCAGCCUGACUCCUCAGGCUACAGAGUAGGUGUUAAGAGGCCUGCGAUAUAGAAGGGUGCCUCCCUGUCCCUCACACCCUUUGUGAAACUCUCCCGCCUUGAGGAAAGUACUGAGCAUUCCUGCCUGAACUGGAGAAUAUAUAAUCUUGGAGUCUUGGAACUUUUUUAACCACUCGUGGGAUCC